AUUGAACGCUGGCGGCAUGCCUUACACAUGCAAGUCGAACGGCAGCACGGGAGCAAUCCUGGUGGCGAGUGGCGAACGGGUGAGUAAUACAUCGGAACGUGCCCAAUCGUGGGGGAUAACGUAGCGAAAGUUACGCUAAUACCGCAUACGAUCUACGGAUGAAAGCGGGGGACCGCAAGGCCUCGCGCGAUUGGAGCGGCCGAUGGCAGAUUAGGUAGUUGGUGGGGUAAAGGCCUACCAAGCCUCCGAUCUGUAGCUGGUCUGAGAGGACGAUCAGCCACACUGGGACUGAGACACGGCCCAGACUCCUACGGGAGGCAGCAGUGGGGAAUUUUGGACAAUGGGCGAAAGCCUGAUCCAGCAAUGCCGCGUGCAGGACGAAGGCCUUCGGGUUGUAAACUGCUUUUGUACGGAGCGAAACGGCUUUCACUAAUACUGGGGGCUAAUGACGGUACCGUAAGAAUAAGCACCGGCUAACUACGUGCCAGCAGCCGCCGUAA
RNAcentral lists this ribosomal RNA (500 nucleotides) under uncultured bacterium. RNAcentral describes it as "partial 16S ribosomal RNA". It matches the Rfam family "Bacterial small subunit ribosomal RNA", at positions 30 to 523 of the family's 1533-position model. The record is from RNAcentral.